GCCAAAACUUUUUUUAAUGGGUGCGUGCAUUUGUGUUGUCCGGUGUUUGAAGACGCUUUGAAUUCGCUUUCAAUUUCUUCGUAGGAAAAAUGUCGGGUGAUACCGAUAAAGCGAAAAUCAAUGACAAUCAGGAUGAAGACAAGAAGUCCACAGCCGGCGACGGGCAUACAACAGAAGACGAGUCGUCUCAAGACUCCAAGGGUGAGUCGGUCCCCGACCAGGCCGCAGGUAACACCGAUGUAGAUCAACCAAGCGACGCGCCCAAUAAAGAUACUAUUGAAGGCGACGCCAAAAGCACAACGGCCAAUGGGAAGGAAGAUGACGCGGGCGGAGAUGACUCCAAAAACGAGAAGAGAGACGCGAAAGCAGAUGGCGAUGUAAAAAAGGAAGAAAACGGGGAAACACACGAUGACGACGAGAAGGAUGACGUGAAAGAAAACAAGAGCACUAAAAAACCCCCACCCAAGAAGAAGGCUAAGAAAGAGGAUACAGAAGAAGAAGACGAGGAUGAGGAGGAAGAGGAGGAGGAGGAUGAGGAGGGAGAGGAGGGCGAUGAGGAGGGAGAUGAGGACGAGAAGAAGCCCAAAGAAAAGGUAAAGAAACCAGCAAAGAAAGCCAAAGAUGGCGACGAAGAGGGCGACGAGGAGGAAGGCGACGAAGAGGGAGAGGAGGAGGAAGAAGAGGAGGAGGAGGAAGAGGAGGCGCCCAAACCUAAGCCCAAGAAAGAGCCCACGGAACCGCCCGUGCCGCUGCCGGCGGGUAAGGGCAUCCCGCUCGGCCACAUCAGUAACGUCGAGAUCUCACUGUCGCGCUUCAAGACCCAGGAUCAGAAGAUUCUGCAUCAGUUCCUAUACGGGCAAUUAUGCCUUGAUCGUAAUGUCAAGCGUAAUAUCAAGAAGUUCCGUGGGUACGAGUGGGCGAUCGGCUCCGCCGAGUAUAAGGCCAAGCUCGAGGAGACUACGAAGAUGGAGCCCAAGCAAGUGCGCACCAUGUGCGAGAUGCUCGAUUUGGACAAGAAAGGGUCGCAGGCGGACCUCGCGGCGCGGCUAGUGGGGUUCCUGCAGCAGCCGGUGGCCAACUCCGUGCACGCGCGCGGCGUGGCGCGGCCACCGCCCGCCGCCGCCGCCACGCCGGGCGGCCGGCCCCGCCGCUCCGCCGCCGUCAAGGUGCACAACAGAGGCUAUUCCGAUGAGGAGUAUGAGACAGACCCAGAGACGAAGGUCAAAGGUCCCAAACCGGCGAAGGAUGGCUCGGAAGAUUCAGAUGGUUCGUUCAACCCGAGCGGAUCCGAGGAGGCGGACUCGGACUUCGACCCCGAGGGCGGCGAGAGCGCGGGCGCCGCCACGCGCAAGCGCAAGAGCAGCGGCCGCCGCCGCUCCGGCGGCAAGCCCGGCAAGCGCGGCAAGCGCCAGCGCGGCAAGCCGGUCAAGGGCAAGAAGGGUCGCGCGGCAAAGAGAGCGCGUUCUGAAAGCGAAGAGGAGAGCGAAAAGUCGGAGAGUGAAAACGAGUCCGAGUCUGGCGGCGGCAGCGACGGAGAGGAAUCCGAUGAGCCAAAAUCCAAGCGCGGCCGGCCGGCACCAGCCAAGGGCCGUAAGGGAGUCGUCGCCAAGAAUGCCAAGGCGACGCCGGUCAAACGAAAAGCGCCUACGCCACCGGCCAAGAAGAAGCCAGCGGGCAAGGCGGCGGGCCGACCGGCCAAGAAGCCAAACAAGAAGGCCGCAUCAUCCGAAGAGGAGUCCGGGGAAGGAAGUGAGGAGGAGGAAGAGGGUAGCGAGGAGGAGAGCGCGGGAGACAGCGACGCGCCCGCCGACAAGAAGAAGCGCCCGCCCACGGACGACGAGAUCAAGAAGUAUGUGAAGCAGAUCCUGGAGGGCGCCAACCUUGAGCAGAUCACGAUGAAGACGGUGUGCAAGCAGGUGUACAGCCACUACCCCGACUUCGAUCUGGCGCACAAGAAGGACUUCAUCAAGGCCACAGUCAAGUCGUGUAUUUAAGAUGUUAGGAGUUAAGGCGGAGUGUAGAUGUCUUCAUAGUAUACCUAUAGUUUAUAAAAGGACAUAUUAUAUAUUAUUACAAUAAUAAUAUAUUAUGAGAAAUAAAUAAUAUCCGAGGCAGUGGAACACCCGCUUUAUAAAAGCUCAUCUCUUCGUGAGCAGUGAGUACUCGGCCGCAAACACAUUCAUAGAAGUAAGGUACACCACUUAAACCUAGACUAAUGCCGCGCCGCGGCCCCGCUCGUACUCCUACCGGGGCUAUUCUAACAUUCACACAAAUCAUCAUCAUCAUAUCAGGCAGAGGAAGUCCACUGCUGGACAUAGGCCUCCCCCAAACACACAAAUACAAAUACUAUCGUCAAAUUAUCGCAUAUGGGGUAAAUUACGUCCACUUGACCUAUACAUUCUCAGUCACAUUAGUGCUAAUUACGCACUUUGAGUGUGCUUAUAAAUGGGUCAUUUACCCUAACGAAAAUGAAGAGAGAAUUCAUCAGUUUCCCUUGCUGGCCAGGAUAUUUUUUAUUUUAUUAUAUCGGGCUCUUGUUUGAGCCAUGACAUUUUCGAGGCAAACGUUAAGAUAAUCCUAUGUCAAUCAAUUUGCUUAUCUACUGUAUUGUAGAUAAAAUGGACGAACUAUAAAAUGUGAAUGAAGUAUACAUGUCUAAAACAAUGAAUAUUGUUUUUUCUAUAUUUAAAUCUGGCCAUAUUAGUUCGUCGAUUGGUCGAAUACCCCUUGCUCGGCCGGGCAGCGUCGCGGCGCGGGCCUAUGUAAUUUUAUGUUCUAGGAAUAAUUUCCACUAGAAAUAAGUAUAACGAAAUAAGCAGCUCUUAAGUUUUUACAUCUUGUUUUCACUGACUUGUAAUUAUUAUUGUGGUGUUUCGUUUACGCCGUUCGCUGUUUUGUUGAUUACUGUAAGUGAAACUGCCCAGUCGGCGUUAAGUUCUACAAAAAUAGAUAUCCAGUACUUUUUUAACCACAUCCAGAAGAAAAAUAGCAUUUUGGGACCAUUUUAAGUUAUGACCUUAACGCGCGAGAUAUCUAAGUCACUCAUUUAAGUACUGUUUAUUUUUAACAUCGAAAACAUUGUACAAAGUUCAGAUAUCCCAAUGUCUUUAAGUUAAAAGUUGUUAUUUUAUGAAAAAAAAAUAUGUCUCGGAACGUAAGUUUAUUUUUUUAAUACGAACGUAGAUUUAAUGUCGAAAUUUCUCGCAGUCUCGCACUAUCGCAAAAGUAAAACUAUUUCGGCUAAGAAUUGAUUUAAGUGUACUUUUAGAAUGUGUAAAUAUACACAAUGGUUUGGGACGUGUGAUUAAAUAUAUUAUGUAAUCUGAAUGUAGUAAUGUCAUAUCUAAGAGGAACUCGCUAUAUUGGAUUGAAGUCUCAAAUAUUUUGGCCUUGUCUUUACCUGAAAUCCAUCGGUCUAGACUCUAGACGGAAAUUAUAGCAAUACAUAAGAUAUCUAAGAAUGGAUUUAUGCUUUCGAGUCCCGUCGCCGUCUCCGUGUAUUUACACCGUGAAUAUAACUGACAUUAACUAAUCACUGUUCACUAUGGAACAUAGUGUUGACAUGCAUUUUGAAAUCGCGGUAUGAUUUAUUUAAGUUUGUCAAAUAAUUAGUACAAUAAUGUUAUAAGUAGAAACUUGUAAAAUGAACGUUUCUUACCGGGGACUCGGCGUAGCAUUAAUAAAUGUACAAUAUGAUCCUCAUUUUAUAAAGUUGCGAGCGCUCUUCAAUGUUGUCGUACCAGGCAUGGCUCACUCCGCGAUUUCGUCGCGUCGCGUACACGCGGCCCACACCAAUUUUGGUGUCUAUGAGUAGUAGUUGCCGCGCACCGCUACGGAACUGACGCGUCCGCGUGCUUGCGGUCAUAUAUAUCGUAAUAGACGCGUUUAGUUAGAGAGUGAACCUUAUGUACCUAGUACUAUUUAUGCUGUGGUCAUACAGACAUAGUUUUUUAAAGUGAGGACUAGUUUGAGCGUUGACGUCGCGUCCCCGGCGUUCGCUGGAUGUUAUGUAAUCGCCUACAAGUACCACAGUGUACUGCAGUCUCGCUUCGUGUUAUGUUGGGUGCUCCAGCAGUAGAUGUGUGUGGCCGACGUCGCUCCGCGGGUGUAGUAGGUGCGGCCGCUCCGGGACGCCUAUAUCGCGAUAUAUAGGGUCUCAUGUAUCCUCUAUAUCACGAUGUCAGGAUCCCACAUCUAGAUUGAUCCCAAUUCUGUUAUUUUUACCGCCUCCCGGCGCGCUCGCACCUUUAUAAUUAAGCUAGCUCUAAACGACAUUAAAUGUGUAUCUGUGAAUUUUUAACCUUAUUUGGUUGACGUUUUUUUUUGUGUAAAUGGCUGAUCUGUAGCGCAGUAGUGACACGGUGUGAGCGAGCGACUGGUUCCCUUUUACAAUUGGAUUAUAGAUAAUAAAGUAAAUAAAAAGUUUGA
This is an RNA transcript of Cydia splendana, 4428 nucleotides long. It is a transcript of the gene named protein DEK, with no coding region annotated. Lineage: Eukaryota; Metazoa; Arthropoda; Insecta; Lepidoptera; Tortricidae. The transcript is spliced from 17 exons. The record is from RefSeq and is a predicted model, not a curated record.